UGGGGAAUAUUGGACAAUGGGCGGAAGCCUGAUCCAGCCAUGCCGUGUGUGUGAAGAAGGCCUUUUGGUUGUAAAGCACUUUAAGCGAGGAGGAGGCUACUUGGAUUAAUACUCUAGGAUAGUGGACGUUACUCGCAGAAUAAGCACCGGCUAACUCUGUGCCAGCAGCCGCGGUAAUACAGAGGGUGCGAGCGUUAAUCGGAUUUACUGGGCGUAAAGCGUGCGUAGGCGGCUUCUUAAGUCGGAUGUGAAAUCCCUGAGCUUAACUUAGGAAUUGCAUUCGAUACUGGGAAGCUAGAGUAUGGGAGAGGAUGGUAGAAUUCCAGGUGUAGCGGUGAAAUGCGUAGAGAUCUGGAGGAAUACCGAUGGCGAAGGCAGCCAUCUGGCCUAAUACUGACGCUGAGGUACGAAAGCAUGGGGAGCAAACAGG
This 430-nucleotide ribosomal RNA is filed under the name bacterium. RNAcentral's name for it is "partial 16S ribosomal RNA". It matches the Rfam family "Bacterial small subunit ribosomal RNA", at positions 355 to 776 of the family's 1533-position model. The record is from RNAcentral.